RNAcentral lists this ribosomal RNA (253 nucleotides) under uncultured bacterium. Its description in RNAcentral is "partial 16S ribosomal RNA". It matches the Rfam family "Bacterial small subunit ribosomal RNA", at positions 524 to 776 of the family's 1533-position model. The record is from RNAcentral.
UACAGAGGUCCCAAGCGUUGUUCGGAUUCAUUGGGCGUAAAGGGUGCGUAGGUGGUUUGUCGCGUUGUUCGUGAAAACCGGGGGCUUAACCCUCGGCGUGCGGGCGAUACGGGCAGACUUGAGUACUGCAGGGGAGACUGGAAUUCCUGGUGUAGCGGUGAAAUGCGCAGAUAUCAGGAGGAACACCGGUGGCGAAGGCGGGUCGCUGGAACGUUACUGACGCUGAGACGCGAAAGCGUGGGGAGCAAACAGG